This 235-nucleotide ribosomal RNA is filed under the name uncultured bacterium. RNAcentral's name for it is "partial 16S ribosomal RNA". It matches the Rfam family "Bacterial small subunit ribosomal RNA", at positions 96 to 334 of the family's 1533-position model. The record is from RNAcentral.
UGGCGGACGGGUGAGUAAUGUCUGGGAAACUGCCUGAUGGAGGGGGGUAACUACUGGAAACGGUAGCUAAUACCGCAUAACGUCGCAAGACCAAAGAGGGGGACCUUCGGGCCUCUUGCCAUCGGAUGUGCCCAGAUGGGAUUAGCUAGUAGGUGGGGGAAGGGCUCACCUAGGCGACGAUCCCUAGCUGGUCUGAGAGGAUGACCAGCCACACUGGAACUGAGACACGGUCCAG